Mycena latifolia is the source of this 89-nucleotide non-coding RNA. The record is from the annotation of a GenBank genome assembly. NCBI's taxonomy places the organism in Eukaryota, Fungi, Basidiomycota, Agaricomycetes, Agaricales, Mycenaceae.
GACCUGGUGGUGCACGGUGCACACCCACUCAAGUUAGAGGGUUGUCGGAGUUCAAGUGGGAGGUCCCUGUUCGAUUCGGGGUCGGGUCA